RNAcentral lists this small nuclear RNA (161 nucleotides) under Callorhinchus milii (elephant shark). Its description in RNAcentral is "U1 spliceosomal RNA (ENSCMIG00000013574.1)". It matches the Rfam family "U1 spliceosomal RNA". Rfam says of the family: U1 is a small nuclear RNA (snRNA) component of the spliceosome (involved in pre-mRNA splicing). Its 5' end forms complementary base pairs with the 5' splice junction, thus defining the 5' donor site of an intron. The record is from RNAcentral. Lineage: Eukaryota; Metazoa; Chordata; Chondrichthyes; Chimaeriformes; Callorhinchidae.
AUACUUAGCUGGCAGGGGAAACACUAUGACAUGAAGGUGGUUCUCCCAGGACAAAGCUAAUCCAUUGCACUUCUGGUGUGCACACUCCUGCGAUAUCCCCAAAUGCGGGAUACUCGACUGAAAAAUUUGUGGUAGUGGGGGACUGUGUUCGCGCUCUCAUA